CUGCGCCUCUUUCUCCUCUCAUCCCACGAGACCUUCAUGGUCCAUAAACCGCAUCUACCUUCUGCUCUACGCCUAUCCACAUUGCAUCCCUCACCUCGCCAGUCUCCUGGACCAUGGCUUGUCCGCGAUGCUACCUGCAUGUCGUCGAUAACCUCGACCCCGGUGCGGCCGCACUGCCGCCUGCACGUUGCCGGUCGGCUCGACCCCAGCGCGGCCGCGCUGCCGCCUGCACGUCGCUGGUAGCCCUGACCCCGGUGCACGCGUGCUGUCACCUGCACUUCAUCGGUUGCCUCGACCAUGGUGCGGCCGCGCUGCCGCCUGCACGUUUCCCGUAGCUUCGACCCUGAUGCGCCCACGCUACCGCUUGCUCAUCUCCAUCCACUACAGUGCUGCAGGUAGAAUUUGGUACUUAUGUUUUCAGAAAUUUUGAUGAAGUUCAACCAUAUAUUAGUGAGUACUCCAGUGGUCAAGAUGGAUGUUCAUCACAACCAUUUACCACCAUGUGGAACCAGAAGUUCAGUCAGUGGUUCAAAAGAGAAGGAGUAGAUUCAGAUGUCGUGUUCAAAUUCGAGAUAGACUCCUCUGCACACAGACUAAUGGGGUGGCUGUCCUUUCAGAAGAAGGGGAUAAUAAUUGGUAAUACAAUAGAAUAUUAUGCCAUAUUGACAGAGAUAGUCGAGCUGCAAUAUUUAGAUGGAAGGCGUGUGACAUUAUUCCGUUGCAACUAGAUUGAUGUAUUUAACAAAGAGCAUGGAAUGAAGUAAGACAACAAGAAUGGAAUCGUUAGGCUUAACCUGCAGUGUUUGCUUUAGACAGAUGAGCCUUUCAUUCUGGAUAGCAAAGUUUAAAAAAAUAUUAUUAAGGACAAACUUAUAAAAGGAUGGCACACAAUUGUGAAAAAAAUCCAUCACGUCAUGCUUAUAAUGUAUCACAUGGACAGUCCGAUGAUAUACCCUCUGAACCUGAACCUGACAAUAGCGACGAAGAUGACUUCUUUCAAAAAUUAACAACAACGUCAUGUAGAAAGAGAACAACAUGAGGCCACUAGUUUAUUCAAGUCUUAAUCUGUAGUAUUUGAUUUGCUUCUUAUAUUAGCUUUUACCUUAUUAAUAAACAGUGACACAAGUAGUUCUGUACUUACUUUAUUUGAUUUAGCAUUCACUCAUUUAACUUAAAUUGUACUUUGUAUAGCCUUUGUGCACACUUCAACCAAACGCUAUAUAUAUAGACACACACACACACAUGUUAUCACAGUGAGUCAUCAUAGGUAUGGAAACUUGACAACAUUAGCUUGGGAAAGAUGCUUUCACAGAUGAAUAAGUCUGGACUGGUACACAAAGGCAUUGCUAGGCGGACCUUCAUGGAGAAAUCAAGUCAAUUAGCAGAUUUCAGCAGAAAAGGGUUACCCACAGGCUCAAAUGCAAGAUGCGGAACUGUGAAAAAAUACAAGUUACCUACAAAAGGUACUAUGUAAACAUAAAAAUAUUAUUCAGCUAUCUUAUAAUCAAUGAUAUAAUGUGGUUAAUUGUUUUCAUAGAUGGAAACGAUGCGCUAACAAAUACACCAAUCAUGUUUAGUACAAAUUGGGAUGCAGGUGAUUCCAAAAGUGAGUUUGUAAGUAUCACGUACUGAACCAAGAAUUGUUUCUAUGCUUUAUUGUCUUCAAGUAAAUCAUAAUAUAUUGCAGCUAUGAAUGAUCAAGUUGAUGCCAGCAAUGAAAGUGACAUGGGAAAUUCAAUGGAUGAAUUUUAUGGUAUGUAAAAUGUAUUUAUUUCAUCUUUAAUUCAUGUACUGUGCUGGCUGAUUGGUUGUAUAUUUUCAAACACUGCAAAUGGUGUAGAUGAAUUAAUAGGUAAUAAAAAUCUAGAAAGUGAAGAAGUGUGGGGCAACCAUGGCCUUGCAAGGAGUUUUUGGUCAGUUCUCAUGUUGCCUCUUUAUUUGAUCUAGUAGUAAACCUUCUAGAUAGAUAAUUUGGGAAUUGGUACACAAUUUAACUUCUGCUGUUUUUAUUCCAAUAAUAUAAGAUCAGUAUGGAUAGUCUAUUUUCUAAGACACACAAGAAGGGUACAACCUUUGUUGAUUGUACAACCUCCGCCAAACACGUAAGACUUAAUUUAACUGUAAUAACUUCAAUAAUGAACAACAAGUGUAUAAUUCCUACUUAGAGAUAGAAGUAACUUACUGUUGGUGCUCCAACAACAAGUGUACAAUUCCUACUUAGAGAUAGAAGUAACUUAUUGUUGGUGCUCCAGACACAAACUAAGACCAUAGUUUAACUCGAAGAAAAGUUCAAUGGCAUGGUGUAAGAAGUUUCUGAAAUUAAGUGACUUGUGUCUGGUAGUUCUCUAAGUGAUAGUUCUCAUGAAAGCCAACAUGAUCAAGUAAGUUGUUAUUAUACAUUGAUUUUAUAUGUUAUUACACUUUGUGCCAAUUUAUUCACAACGGCUGACUUCCAUAAACUACUCAACAUUUUGUAGGAUUCAUGGUCCAUCGUGAUAUAUAGAAGUAUCAAGUAUCAGGAAGGAGUGUAAGAGCUGAUGAAGAAUGGUAUCCAUUCAAACAAUGAUGGUGUCCCUCGAUUGAAGAUAAAUAAAUAUUAUGUUUUCUAGUUGUCUCGUUUUCCAAAUAGAUAUGAUCAAGUCCAUUGGUCAUAUAAGGAUUGCUUUUGACUCAAAUUUCUGAAAUGAUAUUUUUCAUAAUUGUAUGUCGGAAUAUUGGUAUUUCUAUCUAUUAAUGAAAGAGGCUAUGACCCUUACAAUUCA
This is an RNA transcript of Triticum aestivum (bread wheat), 2762 nucleotides long. RefSeq lists it as uncharacterized. The record is from RefSeq and is a predicted model, not a curated record. The transcript has 4 exons. Lineage: Eukaryota; Viridiplantae; Streptophyta; Magnoliopsida; Poales; Poaceae.